RNAcentral lists this ribosomal RNA (242 nucleotides) under uncultured bacterium. Its description in RNAcentral is "partial 16S ribosomal RNA". It matches the Rfam family "Bacterial small subunit ribosomal RNA", at positions 15 to 252 of the family's 1533-position model. The record is from RNAcentral.
GAUCAUGGGCUCAGGAUGAACGCUAGCGGCAGGCUUAACACAUGCAAGUCGAGGGGCAGCGGGGUGUAGCAAUACACUGCCGGCGACCGGCGCACGGGUGCGUAACGCGUAUGCAACCUACCCAUAACAGGGGCAUAACACUGAGAAAUUGGUACUAAUUCCCCAUAACAUUCGAAGAGGCAUCUCUUUGGGUUGAAAACUCCGGUGGUUAUGGAUGGGCAUGCGUUGUAUUAGCUAGUUGG